GCGUUUAAAAAACUGGAGGGAAUGGCUAAAACAUGGCGGACCGAUCACAAGUGAUACCCGUAUGGCGCCACUCUGAUUAUAGGCUCUCUAGUGACUUGACCGCAACCUAUGUCGAUUACAGCGGAAACAUCUGAAGUUCGAUUUUAGGGGUUCACGUUUCGUUCUUAGUUAUUUUUAUAUUCAUGACUGUUAAAAUCUGAUACGACCAGAUUACAUCAGCGACCAAAAAUGAAAGUAUCAUUGUGCAAAUAUAUUGUAUGUGAAUUUUCUGUGAAUGAAAAAAACAAAGUUCUUUCUGCAGCAUACAGUAAUUGUGUGUAGAAAAGUAUCAUGAUUCUAUCCACAGAACUACUAUCACAGAAGACUAUCACAGAAGUUAAUUACAGAAGUUAAUUACAGAAGUUAUUAACAGAAGUUAAUUGACAAUGAAUUGAUGAAAAUACAGUGGUCAAAGAAUGUUGUAAUAGUAGACCAUAUAUCACUAUUAUAUCACUAUGCAGAAAAAGAUGCGUAUUGCAAGUGGGACACUGUGGUCACCAAAUUGCAUGUAUACACUUAAUUGCAUGUAUACAUGCUAAAUGCAGAAAAUAAAAAUAAGCGAAUAAGGAUAAAAUAGGAUAAAAGAAUAAAGAUAAAAUAAGCGUAAUCAACGAUGGAGUCUUUGUGCCGAAAAGUGUUUCAUUAGAGACAAGCACAGAAAGAUUCAGUCUAGGUGAAAAUUGCAAUCUCAGAGUGAAAUGGCAGGCACGAAGAAUACUUAUAAGAGCAUAAAAGAUCACAAUGCAAAGAGCGGUAACAAUACUAGAAGAUGGCAAUAUUUUGAUAUUAUGGAUAAACAGUUCAGUGAUAAACCUUGGGUAAUUCUAAUACUUACAUUGGAUAAUGUCAAUCCAUUAUCUGAAAUUACUAAUAUUAGACAGGAAAAAAGAAGUUUGCGUUCUUGAAAAUCAGAAAUCUGAUACAGUAACCUUAAAAGAUAAAGAUAAAUGUUGGAAAAUUAUAGAACAAUCAUUUAAUAGUAGAUCUUCUGGCGAAUGUUGAAGUUCUGAAAUUUUGAAAAAUUGUUGAGAAAAUUUGAAAAAGAAGACAAGAAAAUUUUUUGCUGAUGCAGCUGUAUGAAACAGAUGGAGGAUCUUAUAAAUCAAAAUCGGAUGCUUCUAGAAAUUAUGUGUAACGAAAAAUUAUUAAACCUUCAGUUGAUGGUAUAACUAACAAUUUUACUAUGAUAAUAUAACAGGUAAAAUAUACUAUUGAGUGGAUGUCAUCAUAAGAAAAACAUAUAAUAUAUUUAUGUAUGUAUCAAAUAUGUACUUCAUAAAAUGUCCGCAAUAGGAAUACUAAUGAAUAAUAGAAGUAGACCACUUCAAAAAAGAAAACUUUAUGACAAUUUGGGUAAUAAGGAACGCAAACAGUAUAAGAGACAAGAGUCUAUAACUUCGAAAAUAUCACAAUAUAAUAUAUUAAAGGAUUUAAAAAUUGAGUUGGUGCAAUUUAUGAUAGAAGAUUUAAAGGCGAAAAGUGAAAUUGAAAUAAAAAUAUUAAAAAUGCAAUUAGAGAAAGAGAGGCAGGAAGUAUAAUGGAAGUACAAAUAUUGGAGAAAGAGCUGGAGUUAAAA
This 1615-nucleotide long non-coding RNA is filed under the name Acromyrmex echinatior (Panamanian leafcutter ant). Its description in RNAcentral is "uncharacterized LOC105146324, transcript variant X2". The record is from RNAcentral. Lineage: Eukaryota; Metazoa; Arthropoda; Insecta; Hymenoptera; Formicidae.